AUUAUAGCAAAUUUAUCUUUACCCCACUCCAUUAAAAAACUGUGAUAAAGAUAAAGGUCUUCACCUCACAAGUUUCUUCCAGUUGCAGAUGAAAGCUGGGCAGCAGGAAAAGCCUUCCUACUGUUUUCAUCAUGUAGACACCAGGGCUCCCUGGAAGAUGCCAGACUGAAAUGGUUUAAAUGUGAAAAGAGAUAUUUGGUUAUUAUCCAGACGUAGCCAGCCAUUAUUUAAAUUGUUCUUUUUUUUUAGGGGGGUGGGGAGUUGAAUAAAGGCUGGAAUCAGUAAU
RNAcentral lists this long non-coding RNA (286 nucleotides) under Zonotrichia albicollis (white-throated sparrow). RNAcentral's name for it is "lncRNA (ENSZALG00000000795.1)". The record is from RNAcentral. Lineage: Eukaryota; Metazoa; Chordata; Aves; Passeriformes; Passerellidae.